RNAcentral lists this ribosomal RNA (603 nucleotides) under Serratia marcescens. Its description in RNAcentral is "bacterial SSU rRNA". It matches the Rfam family "Bacterial small subunit ribosomal RNA", at positions 1 to 592 of the family's 1533-position model. Lineage: Bacteria; Pseudomonadati; Pseudomonadota; Gammaproteobacteria; Enterobacterales; Yersiniaceae. The record is from RNAcentral.
UUAAUUGAAGAGUUUGAUCAUGGCUCAGAUUGAACGCUGGCGGCAGGCUUAACACAUGCAAGUCGAGCGGUAGCACAGGGGAGCUUGCUCCCUGGGUGACGAGCGGCGGACGGGUGAGUAAUGUCUGGGAAACUGCCUGAUGGAGGGGGAUAACUACUGGAAACGGUAGCUAAUACCGCAUAACGUCGCAAGACCAAAGAGGGGGACCUUCGGGCCUCUUGCCAUCAGAUGUGCCCAGAUGGGAUUAGCUAGUAGGUGGGGUAAUGGCUCACCUAGGCGACGAUCCCUAGCUGGUCUGAGAGGAUGACCAGCCACACUGGAACUGAGACACGGUCCAGACUCCUACGGGAGGCAGCAGUGGGGAAUAUUGCACAAUGGGCGCAAGCCUGAUGCAGCCAUGCCGCGUGUGUGAAGAAGGCCUUCGGGUUGUAAAGCACUUUCAGCGAGGAGGAAGGUGGUGAACUUAAUACGUUCACCAAUUGACGUUACUCGCAGAAGAAGCACCGGCUAACUCCGUGCCAGCAGCCGCGGUAAUACGGAGGGUGCAAGCGUUAAUCGGAAUUACUGGGCGUAAAGCGCACGCAGGCGGUUUGUUAAGUCAGA